Molecule: unclassified non-coding RNA, 1398 nt
Filed under: Hevea brasiliensis (rubber tree)
Lineage: Eukaryota; Viridiplantae; Streptophyta; Magnoliopsida; Malpighiales; Euphorbiaceae
Source: RNAcentral
AACAACUUCAUAACUAAACUAAGAUAUGAAAGAUUACAAGCAUUAAAAUGUAAUAAAAUAUCCUAGCACUUGCAUCAUCUUCUGAACAAAAUAGUAGCAGUAGUUUUUUCAAUCUUCAACCCUCCUCCUUGAUGCAAGUGUGGUUACAAACACCAAGGCUUUAUCUCAAGAAUUCAAAUCUCUGUUUUUGAAGUGCCUUAGUAAAUAUUUAUGCAGCUUGAUCUUCAGCAUUGCAGUAUUCACAGCUUCUGCCCACAAGAUCGUUGGCAAAUUCUUCUCAAACAUGCCAUAUUCUUCAAAGACCUAUUUUUCCAUUCAAUCAAACCAUUUUGCUGGGGUUUGUAAGUGACAGUAAGCUGAUGAAUGCCUACCUCUUAAAAAUAUUCCUUGAACUGAUUUGAAGUGAAUUCAUUUCUAUUGUCAGACCUUAAGGUCUUGAUCAAGGAACCAGAUUGAGUCUCAACCGCGGCUUUGAACUUCAAUAAUAUGCUUAAAACUUUUGAUUUUUGCUUGAGGAAAUAGAUCCAAUGAUAUUUGGUAAAGUGAUCAAUAAAUAGAAGAAAAUAUCUGCUACCACUAUAAGAAGAAAUGUUCAUUGAACCACAUACAUCAGUAUGGAUAAAUACUAAUUUUGCAGAAGCUCUCCAAGCUAGAAAUGGUGACUGACUGAGUUUACCGAAUUGACAAGCUUCACAAACACUGGUGUUCUCAUUUACAAAAGGGAAACCAACAUCUAAAUCUAAAUCUUUGAGUUGUAGUAAUUUUAAUUAUUUGAGAUUUGCAUGACCAAAUCUCUUGCGCCACAGAUAAGUUUCUUCUUUAAUGCUGAGACAGCUUUCAAUCUCAGUUGUUUUCCAAUCUAAAGGAAAACUUCUUCUGUUCAUUUUGACUGAGAACAUCUUCAUGCCAGUAGGAUCACUGAUUUCACAGGUCCUAUCUUUAAACACUAGAGCAUAAUUUUUAUCUAAGAGUUGACCAACUGAAAAUAUACUUUGAUUGAUCUCAAGAACAUAAAGAACAUAUGAAAUAAUCUUUGUACCUGAAGAAGUUUGCACAGCUAAUACUCCUUUGCCUUUGAUAUCAAGAAGUUUUCCAUCUCUAAUUUUGACUUUUGAAGACUAACUAGUGUCCAAGCCCUCAAAACCCUUCAAGCUUACUGUCAUGUGAUUAGUGCAACCACUAUCAAUUAGCCACACAUCUUCAGCUUUAAUUGAAACAUCACAUUUUUUUAUUUCUGUAGCAGCAAACAACUCUUCAUGAUUUUCUAAGUUUUCAGUAGCUUGUGCAAGCUAAGCUUGUGGAUGCAGGUUUUGAUUUGAUGUUCAUACCUUCUCAUUGUGACCAAAUUGUUUGCAGGUCUUACAUUGAGCUCCAGGCCUAUGCCAACAAUAAUUCUCA